GUGACACUUACAGAAGCCGYUGUGGCCCCUCACAGGGUAUCCUCACGACUAUAAAUAAAAGAUGGUUAGCACAAGUAAUCGAACAGAUUGCAACAUAAUCGAAAUGCGGGGAUCUCCUAAAGCCAUUCCAGUACUAACUUCAGGGUAGAAAUAUCCUAAGGGCCUCUGUUAACAGCAUAGGGKAUAGKAACAAUCUCGAUGGAUUUUGCRAUGGACAAUCCGCAACGAAACCUCUAACGGCAAAAAGCUUAUGAGGUGCGUUCACAGACUAAGUGGUUAUGGGCGUUUGGCUGAUAAGUCAAAGGCUUAAGAUAUAGUCGGGCCUUGGUGGAAACAUCAAGGAGUAAGUCACUGUAUGAAUUACUGGCMAGUGGAAGGCAACUUCUAACUGUCAUUUACCGUUCCGUAGGUGAACCUGCGGAAGGAUCAUUACAGAGUUCGUGCCCGAAAGGGUAGACCUCCCACCCUUGUGUAUUAUUACUUUGUUGCUUUGGCAGGCUGCCUUUGCGUCUGCCAGAGGUUUAUCAAACUCUUUUUAUUAAUGUCGUCUGAGUACUAUAUAAUAGUUAAAACUUUCAACAACGGAUCUCUUGGUUCUGGCAUCGAUGAAGAACGCAACGAAAUGCGAUAAGUAAUGUGAAUUGCAGAAUUCAGUGAAUCAUCGAAUCUUUGAACGCACAUUGCGCCCCUUGGUAUUCCGGGGGGCAUGCCUGUUCGAGCGUCAUUUCAACCCUCAAGCACAGCUUGGUAUUGAGCCCAUGUCAGCGAUGGCAGGCUAUAAAUCAGUGGCGGCGCCGUUGGGUCCUGAACGUAGUAAUAUCUUUCGUUAAGGAUCUCAGCGUGCUUCUGC
Molecule: unclassified non-coding RNA, 850 nt
Filed under: Sclerencoelia fascicularis
Lineage: Eukaryota; Fungi; Ascomycota; Leotiomycetes; Helotiales; Sclerotiniaceae
Description: sequence contains 18S rRNA gene, ITS1, 5.8S rRNA gene, ITS2
Rfam family: 5.8S ribosomal RNA (bases 571-724)
Source: RNAcentral